RNAcentral lists this ribosomal RNA (482 nucleotides) under uncultured bacterium. RNAcentral's name for it is "partial 16S ribosomal RNA". It matches the Rfam family "Bacterial small subunit ribosomal RNA", at positions 30 to 507 of the family's 1533-position model. The record is from RNAcentral.
AUUGAACGCUGGCGGCAUGCUUUACACAUGCAAGUCGAACGGUAACAGGCCGCAAGGUGCUGACGAGUGGCGAACGGGUGAGUAAUGCAUCGGAACGUGCCCAGUCGUGGGGGGUAACUACUCGAAAGAGUAGCUAAUACCGCAUACGAUCUAUGGAUGAAAGCGGGGGACCGUAAGGCCUCGCGCGAUUGGAGCGGCCGAUGUCAGAUUAGGUAGUAGGUGGGGUAAAGGCUCACCAAGCCAACGAUCUGUAGCUGUUCUGAGACGACGACCCGCCACACUGAGACUGAGACACGGCCCAGACUCCUACGGGAGGCAGCAGUGGGGAAUUUUGGACAAUGGGCGCAAGCUUGAUCCAGCAAUGCCGCGUGCAGGAAGAAGGCCUUCGGGUUGUAAACUGCUUUUGUACGGAACGAAACGGCUCUGGUUAAUACCCGGGGCUAAUGACGGUACCGUAAGAAUAAGCACCGGCUGACUACGUG